Molecule: ribosomal RNA, 463 nt
Filed under: uncultured bacterium
Lineage: Bacteria
Description: partial 16S ribosomal RNA
Rfam family: Bacterial small subunit ribosomal RNA
Source: RNAcentral
GACGAACGCUGGCGGCGUGCUUAACACAUGCGAGUCGAACGGAAAGGCCUUUUCGGAGGUACUCGAGUGGCGCACGGGUGAGUAACACGUGGGUGAUCUGCCCUGCACUCUGGGAUAAGCCUGGGAAACUGGGUCUAAUACCGGAUAGGACCGCACUUUAGUGUGUGUGGUGGAAAGUUUUUUCGGUGUAGGAUGAGCCCGCGGCCUAUCAGCUUGUUGGUGGGGUAAUGGCCUACCAAGGCGGCGACGGGUAGCCGGACUGAGAGGUUGGUCGGCCACAUUGGGACUGAGAUACGGCCCAGACGCCUACGGGAGGCAGCAGUGGGGAAUAUUGCACAAUGGGCGCAAGCCUGAUGCAGCGACGCCGCGUGGGGGAUGACGGCCUUCGGGUUGUAAACUCCUUUCGCCAGGGACGAAGCGUUUUGUGACGGUACCUGGAGAAGAAGCACCGGCUAACUACGUG